AUUGGUUAUCAGUUCUUAAAAAUUCUACUUCAAUCCAAUACAUUUUCUUUUACACAGUCCGAUAACAUGAAAUUCGUUUCUUUGUAUUUUAUUCUGUUCUUCCUGGGCAUUCUAAUUUGUCCAUCUUUGUCAAAAACUUGUACAAGUAAUCAAGAAUGCCUACCUGAAACAGCCACUUGCAUUGGUGGUAGGUGUAUCAAAUUCAGCUAAUUAAGCUAUGUCAUCUAAAUGAAUAAAGAAUAAAUAACUCGCAAAA
Tetranychus urticae (two-spotted spider mite) is the source of this 256-nucleotide long non-coding RNA. RefSeq lists it as uncharacterized. The record is from RefSeq and is a predicted model, not a curated record. Lineage: Eukaryota; Metazoa; Arthropoda; Arachnida; Trombidiformes; Tetranychidae.